This 506-nucleotide ribosomal RNA is filed under the name uncultured bacterium. RNAcentral's name for it is "partial 16S ribosomal RNA". It matches the Rfam family "Bacterial small subunit ribosomal RNA", at positions 28 to 523 of the family's 1533-position model. The record is from RNAcentral.
GGUAAACGCUGGCGGUAGGCCUAACACAUGCAAGUCGAACGGCAGCACAGGAGAGCUUGCUCUCUGGGUGGCGAGUGGCGGACGGGUGAGGAAUACAUCGGAAUCUACUCUGUCGUGGGGGAUAACGUAGGGAAACUUACGCUAAUACCGCAUACGACCUACGGGUGAAAGCAGGGGACCUUCGGGCCUUGCGCGAUUGAAUGAGCCGAUGUCGGAUUAGCUAGUUGGCGGGGUAAAGGCCCACCAAGGCGACGAUCCGUAGCUGGUCUGAGAGGAUGAUCAGCCACACUGGAACUGAGAAACGGUCCAGACUCCUACGAGAGUCAGCAGUGGGGAAUAUUGGACAAUGGGCGCAAGCCUGAUCCAGCCAUACCGCGUGGGUGAAGAAGGCCUUCGGGUUGUAAAGCCCUUUUGUUGGGAAAGAAAUCCAGCUGGCUAAUACCCGGUUGGGAUGACGGUACCCAAAGAAUAAGCACCGGCUAACUUCGUGCCAGCCGCCGCCGUAA